RNAcentral lists this long non-coding RNA (549 nucleotides) under Homo sapiens (human). Its description in RNAcentral is "HSALNT0336203". Lineage: Eukaryota; Metazoa; Chordata; Mammalia; Primates; Hominidae. The record is from RNAcentral.
UUUGUAUUUUUAGUAGAGAUGGGGCUUCACCAUGUUGGCCAGGCUGGUCUCAAUCUCCUGACCUUGUGAUCUGCCCACCUCGGCCUCCCAAAGUGGUGGGAUUACAGGUGUGAGCCACUGCACCUGGCCAGAAUUAAUGUUAUACACCUUUGGCUGGGUGCAGUGGUUCAUGCCUGUAAUCCCAGCACAUCCAGAGGCUAAGACAGGAGGAUCACUAGAGCCCAGGAGUACAAGACCAGCCUGGGCAACAUAAUGAGACCCCAUCUCUUCAAAAAAAAUUAAAAAAAACACAGCCAGGCAUGUUGGUGCGUGCCUGUAGUCUCACCUACUCAGGAGGCUGAGGUGGGAGGAUUGCUUGAGCCUGGGAGUUCAAGGCUGCAGUAAGCUGUGGUCACACCACUGCACUCCAGCCUGGGUGACAGAGCGAGACCUUGUCUCAAAAGAAAAAAAAAAAAGUUGGCCGGGCACAGUGGCUCACGGUUGUAAUCCCAGCACUUUGGAAGGCUGAGGCGGGUGGAUCAUGAGGUCAGGAGAUCGAGGCCAUCCUGG